AGGAUUUCAUGUUACAACUCAUGUAUUGUUCGUGGCAUGAUAUUUUAUAUAAGGGAUCUUGAUAUGUAGAGGCAGACUCAAAAUAGUAGAAUUUUGAUGUUAGAAACCAAUGGAGAUAAUGAGAUUGAAUAUUAUGGUAUCCUAACAGACAUUAUAUAGUUAAGAUAUGGGUCAAAAUGACUUUUUUGCCUGUUUAAAUGCC
RNAcentral lists this long non-coding RNA (202 nucleotides) under Elaeis guineensis (African oil palm). Its description in RNAcentral is "long non-coding RNA (EGUI_LNC024685)". The record is from RNAcentral. Lineage: Eukaryota; Viridiplantae; Streptophyta; Magnoliopsida; Arecales; Arecaceae.